This is a long non-coding RNA of Myotis brandtii (Brandt's bat), 457 nucleotides long. RefSeq lists it as uncharacterized. The transcript is spliced from 2 exons. The record is from RefSeq and is a predicted model, not a curated record. NCBI's taxonomy places the organism in Eukaryota, Metazoa, Chordata, Mammalia, Chiroptera, Vespertilionidae.
CUACCGGCGCCGGAAGCCUCGGGCUCCGGAGUGAGGCUGCGGCCCUUGAAAGCCCAAACUACCGAGCGGAGACGAGCCGCAGAGACCACCCCACAACUUCCUGGGGCCGAGGGGCACCGGGCCAGAGCGAGGAAGGAACUUGCCAAAAGGCACGUAGCGUUUGGAGCUCAGCCGGAGCGGCUGCUCAGGGCCCCGGCGAUCGGGGCUGGGCGCUCCCGGACUUGUGAGCAGAGCUCAUAGAAAUUCCGAGCUGGAGGGACCCUGCAGGGCUCUCACUGUUGCUGCUAACAUGCACUGCUCCAGACACUGCUCGGUGACAACCUGGGAUGCCUUCAAUUAUUUCAAAGGUGUUAUCAAAUUCUCAAAACAGCCCUGGCCGGUUGGCUCAGGGUGCGUGCCAGAGGCACCAAUGAUACAUUGAUGUUUUUCUCUCUGCCUCCCUCCCUUCCAUUCUCUU